Molecule: long non-coding RNA, 1039 nt
Filed under: Chinchilla lanigera (long-tailed chinchilla)
Lineage: Eukaryota; Metazoa; Chordata; Mammalia; Rodentia; Chinchillidae
Description: lncRNA (ENSCLAG00000024850.1)
Source: RNAcentral
GUUUACAAGCGUAGACACCCUCGACACCCUCAUUUCUCCCCCACUUUCCUACCCUAUGAAUGAACUUAGAGAUGGAAGAAGAGGAGCCUUAUCUUUGGGAGAUGAGAAAUUUGAGGCUGAAAGAAAAUUAAUGGUGUAUUGCUUAGGGAACUCUGUGGCUAUGUCUCUGGGACUCCUCUGAAUGGACUUCAGGUAAAUCGUCCAGCCUGAAAAUGGAGCCCUUUUGUGUGACAUUCAUUACACUCUCCCAGAUGAGGUGGGAAACUUGCCCACCUCAUCCUGCAUUCUGUCCCUAAAAAAUAAUGUGGCUAUAAAGUAGUAGAACAAUUCAUUUCAGAUGGCUUGCUAUAAAUUCACAUAAUGGCAAGUUUGUUAGCUGAAGAUAUAAUUCCUUAUCUCAAAGUAGUCCCUAAAUUAGUUCUUUAUUAUCAUUUUCUUGCGCCUUGGGAACAUUUUAUUUGAAGUAGUUUCUCAUGUGAGAGCCCCAAAGACACUUAAGUUCAAAUCAUGAGAUGUAUUUCAAAGAAUACUCUGUCUCAGUAGCUAUAAACUGUUGUCAUGCUUAAUUGUAUUAGAAAACUCUUUCUUAUCAUUUACUUCUUGUUAUUGCAAAAAUACAAUCUUAUUAAGUCAAAGAAAAAAUAUCGCAUAGUAUUAUAUAAUUUAUUGUUAUAGCUCUAAGAAUAAAGGAGGAAAUAUUUCAGGUUCAUUAUGUAUCUAUUUCUGCCAAAAGCUAAUUUCUGAUAAAUAAGCCAGUACAAAAAAGAGAGAAUCUACUUUGAAGCAAUAACGAUGUUCAUUUACAGAGGAUAAAUACCCUCAUUUUGGAUUAAGCUUUAUCCUCUGGAAGCUAAAUGUGCCAUAGCUGAGCAGCAAAUGUAGUUUUCCAAUCAAGUAAAGAGUCUUCCAAAGAUAGUGUCCCCACCUAAGUCACCAGUCACAUCUCCACAUCUCAGUUUAAUGAGGAUAAAAAUGUGAAGUUAGGAGGAGUAAGUCUCCUGCCAUUUCUGUUAUCAAAGGCUGAUCGAUCUGACUUUUC